CGGUAAUUCCAGCUCCAAUAGCGUAUACUAAAGUUGUUGCAGUUAAAAAGCUCGUAGUUGGAUUUCUGCGGGGACGGAGCGGCCGGUCGCAACUUGCGACUCGAGCUAGCGCUUUCCCCGCAUCCUGCCGCGAACCGUGCUACCAUUAGCUUGGUGGCGCUGGGGAUCGGCUCGAUUACUUUGAGAAAAAUAGAGUGUUCAAAGCAGGCCACACGCCUUGAAUAAGUUAGCAUGGAAUAAUGACUAAGGACUUCGGUUCUAUUUUGUUGGUGUUCGGGACUGAAGUAAUGAUUGAUAGGGACAGUUGGGGCGGUCUGUAUUCCAAAGCGAGAGGUGAAAUUCUUAGACCUUCGGAAGAUAAACAGCUGCGAAAGCGUUCCGCAAGGAUGUUCCCUUUGAUCAAGAACGAAAGUUGGGGGAUCGAAGACGAUCAGAUACCGUCGUAGUCUCAACUAUAAACUAUACCAGCUAGGGAUCGGUCAACGUUUAAUCAUUCGACUUGAUCGGCACCUUAUGAGAAAUCAAAGCAUCUGGGUUCCGGGGGGAGUAUGGUCGCAAGGCUGAAACUUAAAGGAAUUGACGGAAGGGCACCACCAGCCGUGGAGCCUGUGGCUUAAUUUGACUCAACACGGGAAAACUUACCAGGUCCAGACAUAGUAAGGAUUGACAGAUUGAUAGCUCUUUCUUGAUUCUGUGGGUGGUGGUGCAUGGCCGUUCUUAGUUGGUGGAGUGAUUUGUCUGGUUAAUUCCGUUAACGAACGAGACCCCAGCCUGCUAAAUAGCGCGGUUGAGCUUUGCUCGAUGCGAGCUUCUUAGAGGGACUAUGAUGCGCGAUAGCACAUGGAAGUUUGGGGCAAUAACAGGUCUGUGAUGCCCUUAGAUGUUCUGGGCCGCACACGGGCUACACUGGCGCCUGCAACGAGCAUAUCAGCUGGCCCGAGAGGGUCUUGGCUAAUCUUUUGAACCGGCGCCGUGCUUGGGAUUGACCAUUGCAAUUGUUGGUCAUGCAACGAGGAAUGCCUUGUAAAGUGCGAGUCAUCAGCUCGCAUUGAAUACGUCCCUGCCCUUUGUACACACCGCCC
Molecule: ribosomal RNA, 1082 nt
Filed under: uncultured Rhizaria
Lineage: Eukaryota
Description: SSU rRNA
Rfam family: Eukaryotic small subunit ribosomal RNA
Source: RNAcentral